Molecule: ribosomal RNA, 857 nt
Filed under: uncultured Bacillota bacterium
Lineage: Bacteria; Bacillati; Bacillota
Description: bacterial SSU rRNA
Rfam family: Bacterial small subunit ribosomal RNA
Source: RNAcentral
ACAUGCAAGUCGAACGAACUUAACCUAUAGUUUACUAUUGGAGCGGUUAGUGGCGGACUGGUGAGUAACGCGUAAGCAAUCUGCCUAUCAGAGGGGAAUAACAGUGAGAAAUCAUUGCUAAUACCGCAUAAGCUGUGAGUAUCACAUGAUACAAAUAGAAAAGGAGUAAUCCGCUGAUAGAUGAGCUUGCGUCUGAUUAGUUAGUUGGUGAGGUAACGGCUCACCAAGACGAUGAUCAGUAGCCGGACUGAGAGGUUGAACGGCCACAUUGGGACUGAGAUACGGCCCAGACUCCUACGGGAGGCAGCAGUCGGGAAUAUUGCGCAAUGGAGGAAACUCUGACGCAGUGACGCCGCGUGCAGGAAGAAGGUUUUCGGAUUGUAAACUGCUUUAGGCAGGGAAGAAACAAAUGACAGUACCUGUAGAAUAAGCUCCGGCUAACCACGUGCCAGCAGCCGCGGUAAUACGUAGGGAGCGAGCGUUAUCCGGAUUUAUUGGGUGUAAAGGGUGCGUAGACGGGCGAACAAGUUAGUUGUGAAAUACCUCGGCUUAACUGAGGAACUGCAACUAAAACUAUUAGUCUUGAGUACUGGAGGGAAAGCGGAAUUCCUAGUGUAGCGGUGAAAUGCGUAGAUAUUAGGAAGAACACCGGUGGCGAAGGCGGCUUUCUGGACAGUAACUGACGUUGAGGCACGAAAGUGUGGGGAGCAAACAGGAUUAGAUACCCUGGUAGUCCACACCGUAAACGAUGGAUACUAGGUGUAGGCGUGUAUAAAGCGUCUGUGCCGUCGCAAACGCAGUAAGUAUCCCACCUGGGGAGUACGGCCGCAAGGUUGCAACUCAAAGGAAUUGACGGA